UACGUAGGGGGCGAGCGUUAUCCGGAAUUACUGGGUGUAAAGGGUGAGUAGGCGGCAUGGUAAGCCAGAUGUGAAAGCCUUGGGCUUAACCCGAGGAUUGCAUUUGGAACUAUCAAGCUAGAGUACAGGAGAGGAAAGCGGAAUUCCUAGUGUAGCGGUGAAAUGCGUAGAUAUUAGGAAGAACACCAGUGGCGAAGGCGGCUUUCUGGACUGAAACUGACGCUGAGGCACGAAAGCGUGGGGAGCGAACAGG
This 253-nucleotide ribosomal RNA is filed under the name uncultured bacterium. Its description in RNAcentral is "partial 16S ribosomal RNA". It matches the Rfam family "Bacterial small subunit ribosomal RNA", at positions 524 to 776 of the family's 1533-position model. The record is from RNAcentral.